RNAcentral lists this ribosomal RNA (468 nucleotides) under uncultured bacterium. Its description in RNAcentral is "partial 16S ribosomal RNA". It matches the Rfam family "Bacterial small subunit ribosomal RNA", at positions 28 to 507 of the family's 1533-position model. The record is from RNAcentral.
GACGAACGCUGGCGGCGUGCUUAACACAUGCAAGUCGAACGGAAAGGCCCUGCUUUUGUGGGGUGCUCGAGUGGCGAACGGGUGAGUAACACGUGAGUAACCUGCCCUUGACUUUGGGAUAACUUCAGGAAACUGGGGCUAAUACCGGAUAGGAGCUCCUGCUGCAUGGUGGGGGUUGGAAAGUUUCGGCGGUUGGGGAUGGACUCGCGGCUUAUCAGCUUGUUGGUGGGGUAGUGGCUUACCAAGGCUUUGACGGGUAGCCGGCCUGAGAGGGUGACCGGCCACAUUGGGACUGAGAUACGGCCCAGACUCCUACGGGAGGCAGCAGUGGGGAAUAUUGCACAAUGGGCGGAAGCCUGAUGUAGCAACGCCGCGUGCGGGAUGACGGCCUUCGGGUUGUAAACCGCUUUCGCCUGUGACGAAGCGUGAGUGGCGGUAAUGGGUAAAGAAGCACCGGCUAACUACGUG